Long non-coding RNA from Neltuma alba, 515 nucleotides. RefSeq lists it as uncharacterized. The record is from RefSeq and is a predicted model, not a curated record. The transcript is spliced from 2 exons. NCBI's taxonomy places the organism in Eukaryota, Viridiplantae, Streptophyta, Magnoliopsida, Fabales, Fabaceae.
AACCCAAAUUCAUCAACCUGGCCUGCAGAUUCAUUUCAUGUCUGUGAGAACUUGGAUGUUGAUGUCAUUGGUAAGGCUGAUAACUUCUCUGGUUCUUGAACCUGCCUCCUCCAUCUCCACCAUACUCUUUUACAGUCGUCUUCUUCCUCAGAACCUCGCUCUUCUCCGAAUGGUUCGGCAUGAGAUGCUUGAUCAGGAAAAUUACCUCUUCAACUUCAUCAUCACCUUCAUGACUUGUUUUUGUUAAUUCUUGUUUUCUAAUUAUUUGACAUCCAGUGCUGCAUAUUAUUUAUAUAUACUGUAGUAGAUCUUCUAGUUUCUUUUUUUCCUGGCGAAUUUUAUGUUUGUUAAUUUCUUUCAUAGGAGACUCGCAGUUUCCUGUUUUUGUAAUCACUACUUGUUCCUCCAAAUUCAAUUAUGUUUGGGCUGAGUAAUGGGCGGCACAGUCUAAUUUGAGGGAUUUAAUUUUCGGUUCUGGAUCAAUGACAACACAACUCCAAUCCAACUAGAUUUUA